This 468-nucleotide ribosomal RNA is filed under the name uncultured bacterium. RNAcentral's name for it is "bacterial SSU rRNA". It matches the Rfam family "Bacterial small subunit ribosomal RNA", at positions 333 to 793 of the family's 1533-position model. The record is from RNAcentral.
GCACUCCUACGGGAGGCAGCAGUGGGGAAUAUUGCACAAUGGGCGCAAGCCUGAUGCAGCCAUGCCGCGUGUAUGAAGAAGGCCUUCGGGUUGUAAAGUACUUUCAGCAGUGAGGGAAGGUGGGUAUGUUAAUAGCAUACUCAUUUGACGUUAGCUGCAGAAGAAGCACCGGCUAACUCCGUGCCAGCAGCCGCGGUAAUACGGAGGGUGCGAGCGUUAAUCGGAAUUACUGGGCGUAAAGCGCAUGCAGGUGGUUUGUUAAGUCAGAUGUGAAAGCCCGGGGCUCAACCUCGGAAUUGCAUUUGAAACUGGCAAACUAGAGUACUGUAGAGGGGGUAGAAUUUCAGGUGUAGCGGUGAAAUGCGUAGAGAUCUGAAGGAAUACCGGUGGCGAAGGCGGCCCCCUGGACAGAUACUGACACUCAGAUGCGAAAGCGUGGGGAGCAAACAGGAUUAGAUACCCUGGUAG